This is a long non-coding RNA of Ictalurus punctatus (channel catfish), 1544 nucleotides long. Lineage: Eukaryota; Metazoa; Chordata; Actinopteri; Siluriformes; Ictaluridae. The record is from Ensembl.
CAGAGAGAGAGAGAUUGUGAGACAGAGAGAGAGAUUGUGAGACAGAGAGAGAGAUUGUGAGACAGAGAGAGAUUGUGAGACAGAGAGAGAGAUAUUGUGAGACAGAGAGAGAGAUUGUGAGACAGAGAGAGAGAGAUUGUGAGACAGAGCAGAACAAAAAGAAUUUUACAGAAAUAAAGAGAGAGAGAGAGAGACAGAAAGGAAGGCGACGCGGUCACCUUUCCCUGAAGAUGCAGGUUGUUCUGUAGGAACUCUCUCACCUCUUCAUCCGUGUCUUUCUGUUAAUAGAAGCACACGAGCAGGUUAUUGAUGUUUAUGACAGUGCAGGUUUUACACAGAGAAGAACACAGAUCGUCGGGAGAGCGGACACACUGCAGUACACGGUGACAGACACACUUCUCAUCCUGCAGACUGAAGGAACACAGAGGAACAUUACUACAGGUGAACUGUCUGGUUUCUGUGGCGACUGUACCAGAGAGUAGCGGAACUUGGCGAGGUUAAUGAGCUCAUGAUCGGCCGGAGAGCACAUGUUGAGACCGAUAGGGAGCAUCUUCUUCAGAGCGGCCACGAUCAGAGAGGUCUGCACAGAGUAACGGUCCCCUCGCCUCUUCUUCUUAGUACGUUCUACAUCAGAGCCACCAGCCUGGGGCGAUAUUUUAAAAAAUAACAAUACAGGACAUAAAAGAGAACACAGAGAAGCAGAUUUUUUUCCUCAUGAAAAUGGGACAGAUCUCAAAGACUCGUGGCAAAAGACAUAAAAUCUCAGACUUGUACAGAGUCAUGGCACCAAAAAAAACCAAAAAAAAACUGCCUUUAAUAAAGCAAACUCAAAGCAGAACACAAUUCCAGAACUCAAACUUCUAAAUACUGGAGCAGUUUCAGCAGAUCUUCAGUCCAACACUUCCUGCCUCACACCUCAGAGCCACAACGCUACAGCUGACCUCAGACUUCUUAUAUAUGACUUUCGGAACAUUUUUCAUCAUUAAUUUACCAAUUAAUUCAUUCACUUCCUCUACACUAUCUCUACAAUACUAUAUUCUAAGCAGAGCUGGCACAGAGACGUUACCCAGGACUCAGAAUGGAGUAAUGGAGGAAAAAAACAAUGAAUUUUAUCCAGUAACAAAUGGAAAAGUUUGGAAUUGAAUUUAGAAUUUUUUUUUUGGUUACUGGAAACAUUAUAUAACAUAAAGACACUUGAUAGCAUUUCUUUUGUUAGGAUUGAUUUUAUUACAUUUACAUUUUGUACUUUAUUAUAUUUGCAACUGAACUGAUUUUGCUGUGUGUGAAAGUUAAGCAUUUCAGUGAAUAUUUCAUUUUAAAGCUUUAGUCGUUUAAAAAUAUACCAGAUGAAUUUGGGUGGGUAUGGAUAUGGACCGAUACUCAGACUUCUGCAUCAGUGUCGAAAUCAGAAGAGAGAAAGUGGCACUGUGCAGUCUCUAAUUCUAGUACAUACUAAGAAUGGAUAGAUACAGUGGCUGUAAAUAAUCUGUCACAAAUCUAAUAGUUGUGUCCUCAAAUGACAUAUCAUGCACUAUACACUUAAA